RNAcentral lists this ribosomal RNA (399 nucleotides) under uncultured bacterium. RNAcentral describes it as "bacterial SSU rRNA". It matches the Rfam family "Bacterial small subunit ribosomal RNA", at positions 357 to 773 of the family's 1533-position model. The record is from RNAcentral.
GGGAAUAUUGCACAAUGGGGGAAACCCUGAUGCAGCGACCCCCCGUGAGUGAAGAAGUAUUUCGGUCUGUAAAGCUCUAUCAGCAGGACAGAAAAUGACGGUACCUGACUAAGAAGCCCCGGCUAACUACGUGCCAGCAGCCGCGGUAAUACGUAGGGGGCAAGCGUUAUCCGGAUUUACUGGGUGUAAAGGGAGCGUAGACGGUGAAGCAAGUCUGAAGUGAAAGGCGGGGGCUCAACCCCCGGACUGCUUUGGAAACUGUUUGACUGGAGUGCAGGAGAGGUAAGUGGAAUUCCUAGUGUAGCGGUGAAAUGCGUAGAUAUUAGGAGGAACACCAGUGGCGAAGGCGGCUUACUGGACUGUAACUGACGUUGAGGCUCGAAAGCGUGGGGAGCAGAC